This 451-nucleotide ribosomal RNA is filed under the name uncultured Desulfovibrio sp. RNAcentral's name for it is "bacterial SSU rRNA". It matches the Rfam family "Bacterial small subunit ribosomal RNA", at positions 936 to 1382 of the family's 1533-position model. The record is from RNAcentral. Lineage: Bacteria; Pseudomonadati; Thermodesulfobacteriota; Desulfovibrionia; Desulfovibrionales; Desulfovibrionaceae.
AGUAUGUGGUUUAAUUCGACGCAACGCGCAGAACCUUACCUAGACUUGACAUCCCGGGGAUUUUCUGGAAACAGAGAAGUGCUUUAGCAAUAAAGAACCCGGUGACAGGUGCUGCAUGGCUGUCGUCAGCUCGUGUCGUGAGAUGUUGGGUUAAGUCCCGCAACGAGCGCAACCCUCGCCUUUAGUUGCCAGCAUUCAGUUGGGCACUCUAGAGGGACUGCCGGUGUCAAACCGGAGGAAGGUGGGGAUGACGUCAAGUCCUCAUGGCCUUUAUGUCUAGGGCUACACACGUACUACAAUGGCCGGUACAAAGGGCAGCCACUCAGCGAUGAGGCGCUAAUCCCAUAAAGCCGGUCUCAGUCCGGAUCGCAGUCUGCAACUCGACUGCGUGAAGUUGGAAUCGCUAGUAAUCGUAGGUCAGCAUGCUACGGUGAAUACGUUCCCGGGCCUU